UUGCUUGUUCUAGCUUGCUCUCAUCUCCGGCUAUUGAUUCAUUUCAUCGUUUCUACACCGUCAUCGACUUGUUAAGAGGUCACUAGCUUCAUCUUCUCAACAUUUAGAAGCGGCGUAUGUCAUUUCCUAGUGUUAUGUAUAUUAUUUUUUAUUUUAUGGUUUUUUUAAGAGGUUAUUAGCUUCAUCGCCAAUUCAAAAGCGACGCGUUUUUUAGAGAAAUAGUGGUAAUAUGUUUUUUAUUGUAAUUAGUUUAGAAAAAAAUAAAAACAUAUAAUACUUUAAUUUGCA
Molecule: long non-coding RNA, 288 nt
Filed under: Sorghum bicolor (sorghum)
Lineage: Eukaryota; Viridiplantae; Streptophyta; Magnoliopsida; Poales; Poaceae
Description: long non-coding RNA (SBIC_LNC006274)
Source: RNAcentral